ACCCGUCUAGAUCAGUCGGUAGAGCGCUGGCCUUUUAAGCCAGUGGUCGUGGGUUCGAGCCCCACGGGGGGUG
This 73-nucleotide transfer RNA is filed under the name Phytophthora infestans (potato late blight agent). RNAcentral describes it as "tRNA-Lys". It matches the Rfam family "tRNA". Rfam says of the family: Transfer RNA (tRNA) molecules are approximately 80 nucleotides in length. Their secondary structure includes four short double-helical elements and three loops (D, anti-codon, and T loops). Further hydrogen bonds mediate the characteristic L-shaped molecular structure. tRNAs have two regions of fundamental functional importance: the anti-codon, which is responsible for specific mRNA codon recognition, and the 3' end, to which the tRNAs corresponding amino acid is attached (by aminoacyl-tRNA synthetases). tRNAs cope with the degeneracy of the genetic code in two manners: having more than one tRNA (with a specific anti-codon) for a particular amino acid; and 'wobble' base-pairing, i.e. permitting non-standard base-pairing at the 3rd anti-codon position. RNAcentral also lists the same sequence under 1 other name. Lineage: Eukaryota; Oomycota; Peronosporomycetes; Peronosporales; Peronosporaceae. The record is from RNAcentral.